Myotis daubentonii (Daubenton's bat) is the source of this 3381-nucleotide long non-coding RNA. RefSeq lists it as uncharacterized. The transcript is spliced from 2 exons. The record is from RefSeq and is a predicted model, not a curated record. NCBI's taxonomy places the organism in Eukaryota, Metazoa, Chordata, Mammalia, Chiroptera, Vespertilionidae.
GUGGCAAGAUGGAAUUAAUCAUCUCUACUCUCAUUUUCCUUCUCACUUCCUGCUACUCCUUUACGUUUUUUGGUUAGGUUUUGUUUAUCAACCUCUCAGUCAUUAGGGCUGGCAAUUUUAUGAUGUAGUUAGUUGACUGCCUCCUCCUUGUUUCUCAGGUUCAUUCCCCAGAAGUGCAGAUUCCAUUUUUGGAAUUAGGCUUUCCUUCUUCUAAAAUUGUUUGUUUUAACGGUAUUUAUAUAUGUUUUGAAUGUAAUUUAAUUGGUCAACCUAAUUUUUCUAAUGGGAGUUUAAAAUGGAUGGCCUAAAGGGAUUAAAAAUGGUGGCAGAGUAAGUGGAAGCUCACAGACAUGCUCCCAGGACCAAACUGGAAAUACAGCAAAAAUACCGAAGAGCCAUCCUGAAAAAUGAACUGAGGCCUACCUGGAGAGAACCCUGGUAACCAUAGACAGAAAGCAGAGACCUCAUAGAGCCUGGUAGGAAGGGCAGAGGUACAGAAGGGCUGGAUGGGCUCCCGCAGACAGCAGUUGAAGUACGGAGAGUUAUCUCAGCUGUUGGGGUUUGCCACUGAGAACUCUGGGGUUUAAUCCUCAAGCUGGGCCCUCCCAGCAUAGAGGACCAGAACUGAGAAAGGUGUCCACGUAACAUCUGGCUGUGAAAAACAGCUGGGUUGCUUUCUGCCAGGGAUAGAGAGAUGGAAAUGCAGGCACCCUCUUAAAAAGCCAACACACAAAAUUCUGUCUGCAGCCACUCACCUUGUGUUUUGGCAAAGGGUGGGCAGAGUGGACUGGAGCUGUAUAAAUAUAAGCCAGGGUUGGGGGAUCUGGGGAUAGGGCUUGGAAGGCCGACGCCCAGGUUUCCUGUGCUGAGUCAUUCCCUCACGCUGCAGAGGUCAUCUUUCUCAGGUAAACCUAUACCGUCCUUAUGUUUUUGCCUGGGGGAAAGACAGUUGACCCACACUAUGGAUAAUCCUCUGCCCCACCCUGUGGAGUUUUUGAGGCCUAUAAAGAGACCGAGAAUAGGAAUUAGCCUCCUGGCAGAAGCAAUUGUCCCACCCUGUUGGAAAACCUCUUACCCCACCUGUGGACCAUUGCUUGAGGAUACUCAGACUGAAUCCAAUCAGACUGCAGGCAGAGGUGGUUCUCUGGAGGCUUUGAGUCUUUGCCUGUUCUAAUUAGAAACAGCAGUUUGGGUUACCCCACAGAUACCAUCCCAGACUGCUCAGCAAGGCAAAAGCCAGCAGAGCCCCAAGUGCUUGCAGCUGACACUUGUGGGACCAGCUCUGUGGGGGAAAGGAAGUACAACCCAGAAUAGGGUCAAUCAAGGUGUGAGACUCAAGGCAAACCCAGCCUCUGGGCUGAGGAGUCCUUGACCACUGGACAGGUGGCACAAAGACAUUGGGGUUGAACCUCACUGGCAGCAAGUGAGAGGGGAGAUCCCUUCCAUAAUGAGACAUCAACAGUCAGGCCUCAAUUACAACAGGAGAACCCAACAGUGCACACAAGGGGCAUUCCUAGAGCAUCCAGCUCAGGUGAACAGAGUCUACACACUGGACACUUAAAGACACCUUCUACAUAAGGCCAUCCCACAAUGACUGGGAGGCGUAGCAGUUCUAUCUGAAACAUAGAAGCAAAUAUAAAGAGAUAGCCAAUAAGGGGAGACAUAGAAACAACCUCCAAAUGAGAGAAAUAAUGUGCAGAAAAAGAAUUAAGUAAGAUGGAGGUAAGCAACCUAUUAGUUAGAAUUCAAAAUAAUGGUUAUAAAGGUGCUAAAGGAAUUUAGUGCAAAUUAUAACAGCAUGGAAAGGAUAUAGAGGUAAUUAACAAUAACCAGACAAAAAUGAAGAAUGUUAUGUCUGACAUGAACACACUGGAAGGGAUUAAAAGUAGGUUGGAUGAAGCAGAGGACCAAAUUAGUGACUUGGAAGACAAGGUAGAAAUAAAUACACAAUUAGAGCAGCAAAUAGAAAAAAGGAUUAAAAAGCAGGAAGAUAGCUUAAGGGAGCUCUAGAACAACAUGAAACAUAACAACAUUCACAUUAUAGGAGUACUAGAAAAGGCAGAGGAUGAGAAAGGAACAGAGAACCUGUUUAAAGAAAUAAUGACAGAAAACUUACCCAACCUGGUGAAGGAAAAUGCCAUACAAGUUCAGGAGGCACAAAGCAUUCCAAUCAAGAUGAACCCAAAGAGACCCACAUCUAGACAUAUCACAAUUAAAAUAGCAAAUGUUAAAGAUAAAGAAAGAAUCUUAAAGGCCUCAAGAGAGAGAAAAAAAAUUCAUACAAAAGGGUUCCCAUUAAAAUGUCAACUAACUUCCCUAGAGAAACACUUCAGGCCAGGCCAGAAGGGAGUAGCAUGAAGUACUAGAAGUAAUGAAAAGCAAGGUCCUGAAUCCAAGACUACUGUAUCGAGGCUGUCAUUUAAAAUUGAAGGUGAAAUAAAAAGCUUUUCAGACAAAAAAGAGGUUAAAGGAGUACAAUACCACUAAACUAGCAAUGCAAGAAAUGUCAAAGGGACUGUUUUAAGAAGAAGAAAAGGAGAGAGAGGAUCAUAGGCAUAAAGAAAAUAAAAAUGGCAAUAAACAAAUACCUAUCUAUAAUAUUUUAAAUGUAAAUGGACUAAAUGAUCCAGUCAAAAGACAUAGGGUGACUGGAUAAGAAACAUGACCCAUAUAUAUGGUGUCUACAAGAGAUGCAUCUCAAAAAAAAAGAUACACAAGACUGAGAGUGAAGGAAUGGAAAAAUAUAUUCCAUGCAAAUGGAAAGGAAAAAAAAAACACAUCGAGUAGCAAUACUCAUAUUAGACAAAAAAAGAUUUCAAAAUGAAGGCCAUAACAAGAGACAAAGAAGGCCACUUCAUAAUAGUAAAGGGAUUGAUUCAAAAAGAAAAUAUAACCCUUGUAAACAUAUAUGCACCCAAUAUAAGAGCACCCAAGAACAUUAAAAAACUCUUGAUAGACCUUAAGGGAGAGAUUGACAACAAUACAGUUGUAGUGUGGGACUUUAACACCCUACUGAGAUUAUGGGAUCGAUCUUUCAGACAAAAAAUUAACAAGGAAACAGAGGCCGUAGGUGACACACUAAAUCAGAUGGAUGUAACUGAUAUUUAUGGAACAUUUCACCCCAAAGCAACCGUGUAUAUUCAAGUGCACAUGGAACAUUCUCAAAGAUAGGCUACAUGCUAGGGCACAAAACAAGUCUAUACAAAUUCAAGAAGAUUGAUAUAAUACCAAGCAUCUUCUCAGAUCACAAUGGCAUGAAGUUAGAAAUGAAGUACAAUAAAAUACUCAAAAACACUCAAAUACAUGGAAGCUAGUAGCAUGUUAUUAAACAAUGAAUAUGGUUAUCAAUGAGAUCAAGUAAGAAAUUAAAUAGUUCCUGGA